Molecule: ribosomal RNA, 292 nt
Filed under: uncultured bacterium
Lineage: Bacteria
Description: partial 16S ribosomal RNA
Rfam family: Bacterial small subunit ribosomal RNA
Source: RNAcentral
GUGUCAGCAGCCGCGGUAAUACAGAGGGGGCAAGCGUUGUUCGGAAUUACUGGGCGUAAAGGGCGCGUAGGCGGCCCUCUAAGUCAGACGUGAAAUCCCUCGGCUCAACCGGGGAACUGCGUCUGAGACUGGAAGGCUUGAAUUCGGGAGAGGGAUGUGGAAUUCCAGGUGUAGCGGUGAAAUGCGUAGAUAUCUGGAGGAACACCGGUGGCGAAGGCGGCAUCCUGGACCGAGAUUGACGCUGAUGCGCGAAAGCCAGGGGAGCAAACGGGAUUAGAAACCCCAGUAGUCC